Molecule: ribosomal RNA, 433 nt
Filed under: uncultured bacterium
Lineage: Bacteria
Description: partial 16S ribosomal RNA
Rfam family: Bacterial small subunit ribosomal RNA
Source: RNAcentral
AACGAACGCUGGCGGCAUGCCUAACACAUGCAAGUCGAACGAGCCCUUCGGGUCUAGUGGCGCACGGGUUCGUAACGCGUGGGAACCUGCACUUAGGUUUGGACUACCUCCCCGACAGGGGUGCUAAUACCGGAUAAUGUCUUCGGACCAAAGAUUUAUCGCCUUUGGAUGGGCCCGCGUUGGAUUAGCUAGUUGGUAGGGUAAAAGCCUACCAAGGCGACGAUCCAUAGCUGGUCUGAGAGGAUGAUCAGCCACACUGGGAGUAGGACACGGCCCAGACUCCUACGGGAAGGAGCAGUGGGGAAUAUUGGACAGUGGGCGAAAGCCUGAUCCAGCAAGGCCGCGUGAGUGAUGAAGGCCUUAGGGUUGUAAAGCGCUUUUACCCGGGAUGGUAAUGACAGUACCGGGAGAAUAAGCUCCGGCUAACUCCGUG